This 173-nucleotide unclassified non-coding RNA is filed under the name Hypocreales sp. Its description in RNAcentral is "partial internal transcribed spacer 2". Lineage: Eukaryota; Fungi; Ascomycota; Sordariomycetes; Hypocreales. RNAcentral also lists the same sequence under 3 other names. The record is from RNAcentral.
CAACCCUCGGGCCCCGCAUUCGUGCGGGCCCCGGCGUUGGGGACCGGCCUCCGCAUCGGACGGCCGCCCCCGAAACCCAGUGGCGGUCCCGCCGCGGCCUUCUCUGCGUAGUAGCAUACACCUCGCACUGGAGAGCGGCGCGGCCACGCCGUAAAAGAAACGAACUUUCUGAA